Molecule: long non-coding RNA, 187 nt
Organism: Rhodamnia argentea
Lineage: Eukaryota; Viridiplantae; Streptophyta; Magnoliopsida; Myrtales; Myrtaceae
Exons: 3
Source: RefSeq, a predicted model, not a curated record
UCGGGAUUUUGCCUCUUCUUCUUCAUCGUCCCCUCCGUUAUCGAUUCCGGUGUUCACCACCUAACCGAGUUUCUCAGGAAGAGGAGGGGAGAGUCUCUCAAUCAAGCUCCGGCAAACUUCAAAAUAGAAAUGACGAAAAUGGGGCUCAUAUCGCUGCUUCCGACGAUUUCGGAGAUACCUAUAUUGC